RNAcentral lists this ribosomal RNA (253 nucleotides) under uncultured bacterium. Its description in RNAcentral is "partial 16S ribosomal RNA". It matches the Rfam family "Bacterial small subunit ribosomal RNA", at positions 524 to 776 of the family's 1533-position model. The record is from RNAcentral.
UACGUAGGUGGCGAGCGUUGUCCGGAUUUACUGGGCGUAAAGAGCGCGCAGGCGGUCGUUCAAGUCGCGUGUGAAAGCCCCCGGCUCAACUGGGGAGGGUCACGCGAUACUGAUCGACUCGAAGGCAGGAGAGGGAAGUGGAAUUCCCGGUGUAGUGGUGAAAUGCGUAGAUAUCGGGAGGAACACCAGUGGCGAAGGCGACUUCCUGGCCUGCUCUUGACGCUGAGGCGCGAAAGCUAGGGGAGCAAACGGG